RNAcentral lists this transfer RNA (72 nucleotides) under Puccinia triticina. RNAcentral's name for it is "tRNA-Ile". It matches the Rfam family "tRNA". Rfam says of the family: Transfer RNA (tRNA) molecules are approximately 80 nucleotides in length. Their secondary structure includes four short double-helical elements and three loops (D, anti-codon, and T loops). RNAcentral also lists the same sequence under 1 other name. The record is from RNAcentral. Lineage: Eukaryota; Fungi; Basidiomycota; Pucciniomycetes; Pucciniales; Pucciniaceae.
GUGUACUUAGCUCAAUGGUUAGAACAUUACUCAUGAAUGCUGAGUGUGUGAGUUUGACUCUCACAGUACACA